Molecule: long non-coding RNA, 1049 nt
Organism: Astatotilapia calliptera (eastern happy)
Lineage: Eukaryota; Metazoa; Chordata; Actinopteri; Cichliformes; Cichlidae
Source: Ensembl
UUGUAAUCCAGCCAGGGUGUAAAUAUCACUCAGCUGAAGCAGGUAGCAUCAACACAUAAAUCUACUCUACCCGGCUUAAAUCACAAGAGCACCUCUGACCAAAAAGCUGUAGAUUUUUCUUGUUUGCACAAAUUAAUCCAGAUUCACAUUAAUUGUGUUCACAGCUCCAACAAAAUCAGGAAGAGGAGGGGGAGAAACACAAUUAGGUUGAAUUACAAUUGGAUGGAAGGCGAGGACAAGGAGAAGGAAGCUUAGGAUGAGGAGGAAGAGAAGCAGCAGGAGCAUCUUUAGGGCUCCCUAUGAUGAGAGGCAGCAGCGAGAGGGGAGACCUCGGCUCAUCCAGCUGGAGAGCCUGACCAGGAGGAGUCGAACAUUAACUCAGCUCUUCCAGGGCACCCUGCAGACUCGGCUGUUGGCAACAACGAGGGAUGACGUGAACGCCAAACAGGAGUCCAUCACAGGUCAACUGCAGCUCCUUGUCUCAGAGUGGGAGGGGUUUGAAGCACAAAGGGAGGAACUUGUCGUUUGGUUGGCUGAUAUGGAUGUCCGCCUGAGUGAGGUUGACCAGCUGACAGGAAACACCAGUGAAAAACUGAAACAACUGCAGGUGUGGGCUUGUUUUGAUAUGACAUAUUUGAUAUGAUACAUACGUCAGAGACAUUAUCCUAAACUGGACUAACAAAGGACCAUGAGUACAACAUGAAACGUACAUUACAUAGCGUAAGGCUGAAGUUCAUUGAUCAUUUUAAUCAUAAACUUGUUGAAAUAUUUUUACUGAACAUGCAAACAUCUGCUGAUGAAAAUGUGUUGAUUUAUUGGUCUGUUAUGAAGCUAUUGCUAUUUCUAAUGUGUUUUAUCACUUUCUGAUGUUUUAUUAAUUAAACAAUACAUGUAUUAAUUGUUGUGUUAUCUGUAGCUAUAGUAUUUAUAUAUAUUUAUUUAUAGUAUAGCAAAUAUAUUUAAUUAUUACUGUUUAAAACACUAAUAUGUGACAUGUAUUAGUAGUGAUGUUGUGCUGAGGGUUAAAAUGCCUUUUUGUCUUUUGGUAA